AGUCUUGACUUCCAGUCAGAAAGGAUCAUUUAGUUUAAUUCCUCAUACAUCCACAAUUUAGAUUUUUAAGAAUUCCUGGAUGCUCAUUGUAUCAUACAUAUGUAAACAAACUUUACUAAAUAAUGCUCUGGUUGUCUCUGAAGGGGCCGUGAGGUCUGUGUCUUCUACCAUAUGCUGGAUUUUCCACAGUAGACUGGAUCCAGCCACACUUCCUGCCUUGUCACCAUGGCGACAGAAAUCGCGCCAAGCAAGCAGUCUCCGUCUGCUGCGGAGGGACUCCACGAGGACCGGGAGCUUGUUUCUGAGGCUGGGUACUACGGAGCAGCACCGGGGCUGUUUGGGUUAAUCUGCCCCCGAGCCUCGCCCUGAUUGGUCGGAGGCGCGGUGAUGCUGAGGCCGGCGCCGCGUCGCUGUCCAACCGGCCGCGGUGCUGGAGCGCCGAAUCACGCUUGUCGGCUUAAUUGGUUCAGACUUGCAGCUACAUAUGCAGUUUUAAGCGAGUGCGUUGAGAAGGUGCACAGAGAGGGAGGCUGUGUUCAAUUAAAAGCAACGCUUCGUUGGGACCCGCAGCGACUCAUCGCCAUUGUACUGAACGUCGUGUCAGAGCUGAUUAGUCGAAUCUGGACUAUUGUCCCCUGCCACGUAUUACCACCCAUAAGAAGAAUACUUGGUUUCCUAUUAAGACAAAUAAAAGGCCUCAUACCGUG
Molecule: long non-coding RNA, 707 nt
Organism: Gasterosteus aculeatus aculeatus (three-spined stickleback)
Lineage: Eukaryota; Metazoa; Chordata; Actinopteri; Perciformes; Gasterosteidae
Source: RefSeq, a predicted model, not a curated record